This 235-nucleotide ribosomal RNA is filed under the name uncultured bacterium. RNAcentral's name for it is "partial 16S ribosomal RNA". It matches the Rfam family "Bacterial small subunit ribosomal RNA", at positions 82 to 334 of the family's 1533-position model. The record is from RNAcentral.
CCCCGCAAGGGGAGUGGCAGACGGGUGAGUAACACGUGGGAAUCUUCCUAUUGGUGGGGAAUAGCUCAGGGAAACUUGGGGUAAUACCGCAUAAGCCCGUAAGGGGAAAGAUUUAUCGCCAAUAGAUGAGCCCGCGUCUGAUUAGCUAGUUGGUGAGGUAAUGGCUCACCAAGGCGACGAUCAGUAGCUGGUUUGAGAGAAUGACCAGCCACACUGGGACUGAGACACGGCCCAG